Long non-coding RNA from Panicum virgatum (switchgrass), 2245 nucleotides. RefSeq lists it as uncharacterized. The record is from RefSeq and is a predicted model, not a curated record. Lineage: Eukaryota; Viridiplantae; Streptophyta; Magnoliopsida; Poales; Poaceae. The transcript has 3 exons.
UUAGCCCAGCCCACCAAGCACCCACACCCCUCACGCUCUUCUUCCUCACCUCACAGCCCCAACCCUAGCCGCCCUACCCCUGCGCGCCGCCCCUUCCCUGUGGCCGCUGCUCCCGCGCGCCUCCACCUCUCACGCGUGCAGCCGCCUUGGCGCGCGCCACCGCUCGCACUGUGCCGCCGCCUCCCGCGCGCCGCCCUCGCGCGCAGUGUCACCGCCUCCCGCGCGCCGCCUUCGCGCGCAGCGCCGCCGCCAGGGCCUCGCCGAGGCUUCCGCCUUCGCAAGCCGCUGCCGCCGGCGUGAGCCCGCGCGGCCGCUGCCGCGCCAAGCCCCCCACGCCGUGGCCGCCAGGGGGUCCAGCGCCGCCGCGGGAUCUAUGCCGCGCUUGCCCGCACGCCUCCGAGCAACCUCGUGUGCUUGCUGAUGCGGAACUUGCUCCACUGUAGGCCAUCCUCGUCGCUCAGGGUUUGGGCCAUGGAAGCUGCUGCUGGACUACGGGGAUCCCCAACGACUGCUCAAGCAGUGAAGGUUAGUUUUGAUUCCCUUUCUCCCAUUCCCUGAUGCUUAAUUUUUGAAUCGAACUAGUACCAAUUGAACUCCAUCUGACAUGCCAUAAAUGAAGUGCCGAACAUUGCAAAGAGGGUAUUUUAAUAUUAACCUGAAAUUAUGUUCUUGCUUUACAAAUAUAUUGUCUCCUACUUGCAACCGUGGGCGACGUCGACAACUGUGAGGUCGGCUUGCUCUGCCUCUUCUUGGCGUCGGCAGCCUGCUCCUCCUCUUAAGGUUUUCUUUUCAGUUCCUGUUGCUUAUGAUACAUAACUAUUCUAAUGUAGGUCCUUUUGCUUGUGAUAUAUAACUAUUGUAAUGUAGGUCUUUUUGCUUGUUAUCUGCUACUUGCUAUCUUGCCCCCAAGAUAUAUAAGAGAGCUGUAGGUUAUUUUUCGCUUCUGUUUUCUAUAGGCCAUCUGCUUUUAAUUAUGUGCUUCCUUGACACAUGAAUAUUUUUGCUCUAGUACCAUGUGCUGCCAUUUUAUGAGCUUCAGUUAUCCAUUAACUUGCAAGCAUGGUUCGGCUAGGCGGCGAUUCCGCGGCGCCUAGGCGCGAUUAGGCGCUAGUCGAAGCCCUGCCGCGUCGAUUUGGCCGUAGUCGCUCUUCUAGGCGGCGGCAGCUCGUCGGCGGAGCCAGUAGGGGUGGAGGAGCGUCUGGCGGAGGUCGCCGGUGGGUGGGGGGGGAGAGGAGCUGCGGGCGGCGGCAGGGGCUUACACGGGCAGCUGCUGGCGCAGGCGCGGGCGCCCAGCAGAGGAGAAAGAGAUGUCGGAGAGGGAGAGGGAGAGGGAGAGGAAUCGUCGGCGGCGGCGGCUGAGGCUGGAGACGAGCCUCACGAAGGAUGCGGGAGUUGGGAGAUGGAUAGGAUUUGGACAGGUUGCCUCUCUCUUGGGCCUUUCUAUGGACUGGACAGGUUGUCUCUUGGGCCUUUCUAUCUCCCUAAAUCAGUCUUUUUACCUAUCUGAGCCCACUAUUCAGCUGUUUAUUUUUUUCUUUUAGAAGAUAAUAUAUGUAUAUUAGUAUAUAUAUAUAAAACGCCUAGGAAAACGCCUAGGAGCGCCUAGGACCGAGUACUCCCGACUAGGCGCUAGGCAAUGGGUCAGCGCCUAGAUUCCGCCUAGCGCCUAGCUGAACUUUGCUUGCAAGAAUGUGUUAUCAGGGAAGCAUAAAUGCUGCACUUGGAAUCAUGACUGAGGAUGACUGGAGGUUGCAUGUGUAUGGCGAUUGGCUUGAUAAGCUAAUUUAUAAUAGUUGUCACCAUGUAUUUGAUGUUGGAAAGAUAGCGACAUAUUUAUCUUAAAAUAGUUUCUAAAUGAUAGCUUCAAGCAACUACAGUUGUGCAUGUGAUGCCGACAGAACUGGACAUGCUAUGGUGCACGCACUAUAUGGUCAAGCAAUGAAGCACGAUGAAGGGAAAUGAUCAGAUGUACCAAGGAACCAAUAGUUAGAACAGAUCAGUUGAGGAUCCGAUGCAUCCAGUGACAAGCAGUUAGAAGAGAUAGGAAAUUUGAAGAAGGCAACAGAGGAGACUGAUGGUUUUGGUCUAUCUAUAACUCCUGUUCAUGAUUAAGUGGCUGUAAUCUCUUAUUUGGGUAUAAUUUGUACCUUACAUGUUCAGGAUGAUGUGUUGUAAAUGUUUUGAUGGUGAUUAAAAAUGGUUUGUGCCAAUGAAAAUAGGCCUGCAAAAAAUUAUGUUUUAUUGA